GUCCUUUUGAUUUUUAUAUAAGGUCUGACCUGCCCUAUGAAUAUUUAAAUGGCCGCGGUAUACUAACCGUGCAAAGGUAGCAUAGUCAUUUGUCUCUUAAUUGGAGGCUUGAAUGAAGGGUUGGACGAGAUAUAAGCUUUCUUUGUUAUAUUUUAUUGAAUUUGACUUUUGAGUUAAAAGGCUUAAAUUUUUUUAUAGGACGAGAAGACCCUAUAGAAUUUUAUAUGUUUGUAUAAUUAAUUUAUUUAUUUAUUAUUUAAUUUCUUGUUUAAAUAUAUUUUGUUGGGGCGAUGGGAAGAUUUUAAUAACUCUUUUUUGUUUUGAUCAUUGAUUUAUGUUUUAUUCUGAUCCUUUUUUUAGAGAUUAUAAGAUUAAAUUACCUUAGGGAUAACAGCGUAAUUCUUUUGGAGAGUUCUUAUCGAUAAAAGAGUUUGCGA
Molecule: ribosomal RNA, 437 nt
Filed under: Appasus japonicus
Lineage: Eukaryota; Metazoa; Arthropoda; Insecta; Hemiptera; Belostomatidae
Description: partial 16S rRNA
Source: RNAcentral